CCUACGGGAGGCAGCAGUGGGGAAUCUUGCGCAAUGGGCGAAAGCCUGACGCAGCCAUGCCGCGUGAAUGAUGAAGGUCUUAGGAUUGUAAAAUUCUUUCACCGGGGACGAUAAUGACGGUACCCGGAGAAGAAGCCCCGGCUAACUUCGUGCCAGCAGCCGCGGUAAUACGAAGGGGGCUAGCGUUGCUCGGAAUUACUGGGCGUAAAGGGAGCGUAGGCGGAUAGUUUAGUCAGAGGUGAAAGCCCAGGGCUCAACCUUGGAAUUGCCUUUGAUACUGGCUAUCUUGAGUACGGAAGAGGUAUGUGGAACUCCGAGUGUAGAGGUGAAAUUCGUAGAUAUUCGGAAGAACACCAGUGGCGAAGGCGACAUACUGGUCCGUUACUGACGCUGAGGCUCGAAAGCGUGGGGAGCAAACAGGAUUAGAUACCCUGGUAGUCCACGCUGUAAACGAUGAGUGCUAGUUGUCGGCAGGCAUGCCUGUCGGUGACGCAGCUAACGCAUUAAGCACUCCGCCUGGGGAGUACGGUCGCAAGAUUAAAACUCAAAAUGAAUUGACGG
Molecule: ribosomal RNA, 561 nt
Filed under: uncultured bacterium
Lineage: Bacteria
Description: bacterial SSU rRNA
Rfam family: Bacterial small subunit ribosomal RNA
Source: RNAcentral